GGUGAGAGAAAGAUGAAUCAGGGACAGGGGAGACAGAUAACGGGGGACAGGUGAGAGAAAGAUGAAUCAGGGACAGGGGAGACAGAUAACGGGGGACAGGUGAGAGAAAGAUGAAUCAGGGACAGGGGAGACAGAUAACGGGGGACAGGUGAGAGAGAGAUGAAUUAGGGACAGGUGAGACAGAGACAACGGGGGACAGGUGAGAGACGGACAAACGAGAGAAAAAGGUGAUGAUACCAAAAGUAACCACAUCAUGGAGGUACAGGAGGUAGAGAGUCCAUCAGGCAGAUGGUGUCUGUGUUUUGUUGUUUACUGGAUAGAAGACACCAGGUGAUCUCAUGAUUGACAGCCCUGGACAAUGACAUAAUGAGUCAGCACAGAGGGGGACGUCUCACGAACUCACUGGUCUUCAAAGGGCCCCCUGCUGCUUUCGGGUCGCCAGGAUGGAAUGUUUCCUCCUUCUGGAGCUUUCUGUCCCCUCGUGUGAUCUUCAGGAGACAAUGAAUCCGUUUGCGUGGGAACGAACAAAGUGUGAAAUGUCUGUUUCUCCAUGACGACUGUUUGAUGAAGAUCACACACACGACCACAGCCUGUCAGCUGUCACGAGCUCCAUCAUUGGAGAACACACACACAAGUUGGUUUCUGUGUGCGUGUGUGUGUGUGUGUGUGUGUGUGCGUGUGUGUGUGUGUUUUAGACAUGUAUAUCGUGUAGACGGUGAUGGCACGCUGUGUGUGUCGACAGAAAGUGCUUCCACAAUGAUGUCAUGCACUUCAGGACAUACCUUACAAGUGUGUGUGUGUGUGUGUUUGCAUGUAGUGUGUGUAGACGUGGACACGUCUCAGCCCCCUCAGGGCGCGUUAUGAUCCUUCCCUCGGGUGUGAAGCACACUCACAGACACACUCACGCACAGUGUGUCACUCAGCUGUCUGCGAGCUAAAUGCAAAGCUAUGGCCGGCAACUGGUUAGCUUAGCUUAGCAUUAAGACUGGUUCUGAGAGUAACUAAAUAGCCACCACUUGCUUCGGAUGAAAUUAUAAAAUUGAAUUGUAUUUCUAAAUAUUGUCUCUCUCCAAUGACAUUUUGAAUUUCUUUUUCCUUGACAUUUUUUGUAUUGUUUUUUUUUCAAAAGAUUUUUUGACCUAAUAUUUUUUUACUUUUAUUCCAUGACAGUUAAAAUUUAAAAAAUAACGCAUUCUGAAUAUUCUAUUUUUUAUCUUAAUUAUUCUGACUUUCUUUUUAAAAACAAAUAUUUUUAGAUUUUUUACAGGCUAAAUAUUUACUGUAUAUUUUUGAAUGUUCUUCAAAACAUUUUUUAAAUAUUUUUAUUUAUGACAUUUUUAGACAAUGUAUAUUUUCCAUGACAUUCAUUUUCAACCUAAUAAUUUUAUGUAUUUCUGUUUAUUUUCCAUCUUAGAUAUACUUUUUUUAAAAGAAAAAGUGUGUCAACUUCGUUCAAUAAAACCGCAAGCUUUACACCAAAGGUCGAUUGCAACUUCAGCUUAGAACUAUAUAGUUCCAAUUUUAAAUGUAUGCCAACAUAUAUUGUAUACAUAUAAAUAGAUAUUUAGCAUUUUCUUUAGUAAUCGCUGUGACUCCUGGUCAGGGUUAAACGUUAAGCUAUCGAGCCCGAGCUUUAAAAUCAUCCAAG
Long non-coding RNA from Gasterosteus aculeatus aculeatus (three-spined stickleback), 1648 nucleotides. The record is from Ensembl. NCBI's taxonomy places the organism in Eukaryota, Metazoa, Chordata, Actinopteri, Perciformes, Gasterosteidae.